Molecule: ribosomal RNA, 392 nt
Filed under: uncultured bacterium
Lineage: Bacteria
Description: partial 16S ribosomal RNA
Rfam family: Bacterial small subunit ribosomal RNA
Source: RNAcentral
AUACGGAGGAUGCGAGCGUUAUCCGGAUUUAUUGGGUUUAAAGGGUGCGUAGGCGGUUUGCUAAGCGGGAGGUGAAAUGCCGGCGCUCAACGUCGGAAGUGCCUCCCGAACUGGUGGACUUGAAUGACUCUGCCGUGGGAGGAAUGUGUAGUGUAGCGGUGAAAUGCUUAGAGAUUACACAGAACACCGAUUGCGAAGGCAUCUCACGAAGGGUUGAUUGACGCUGAGGCACGAAAGCGUGGGGAUCAAACAGGAUUAGAUACCCUGGUAGUCCACGCAGUAAACGAUGAUGGCUAACCGCUGGAUCCAUCGGUUCAGUGGCCAAGCGAAAGCGAUAAGCCAUCCACCUGGGGAGUACGACCGCAAGGUUGAAACUCAAAGGAAUUGGCGGG